UGUAAAAAAUUGAAAAUUACGAGAGGUUGAAGUCAGGUAGCUGAGAGGAGGAACGAACGAGUCAAUUUACAUAAACAUACAUCAACAAUCCCGGCCAACGUUGGCCCCAGUGGAGUUAGAUAAUGAGUCGUAAUUACGCCAACGGAAUGACCAGUUGAAUGGCUUCUGUCACAUUUGAUAUUCUGGGUAGAAUUUCCGAACGAUGACCCAAGAAUUGAAAACAAAAAAUCUCUCAACAGUUGGAAUAUAGAAAUAAGAAUAAUCAUCGAAAAAAUGUGGAAAAGUAAAGGUUCACGAUAUAUCAUGAGCGAGUCAACUUGAAAUCCACGAUCGAACGUAUCAUCAGGUACAGUCCACUGACAGUACCUGUAAUUAGAGAAAUCUUCGUCGUUUAUUCGACCCUGGUAGACCAUAAAUCUACCCGCGAAACGAGAAAAAACACUUUCGUGGAACAUGUUUCUAUGGGGCUCAUUACGAGGUUGUCGCAAGGAAGCUACACCAGUACCUUGGAACAGCUGGACGCCAGCUGGAACUCGUGUUGAAUCUCGUUGGGGCCAGAAACGGGAAUUCUCGAGUCUGUGGAGUCCCCUAACAAGCAAAGUGCAUAUUCCACCCGAGAAUGACUCCAGUGAAAUAUGAAAUAAGUAAAAAAAAAAAAAUAACCGAUAGUAUCCAGGAAGAGGUUUGCACCUUGCGUCAACCCCAUUAAAUCACCCAACACCCUGUUUAUCGACGUUGGACACGAGUAAUUGGGCAUCGAGGCCAUUGCAUCAUUGCCACCUCAGGGGAGUGUACAGAGGUGUACUGAGGUCCAAGUGAAAAACAAGACUUCUCAAUGCAUCCACUGGCCAUUAUUCCUCGAAUACCCUCCAGGCACUAUCGUUUCUCUCCCAAGUCGAGUGUAAAGACCACUCUGACAUCUUGUUGAUGACGUUUUCUAUUCUAUGAACACGGAAUUGAUGGGAAUGAAUCUAAUUACUUGUUUUCCGAGUACUUGGAUAUCAAAUAGUCUCCAGGAAUGAUCAGGCGAUGUCCAGGUAGUGGGAGCCUCGAUGAUUAUUGAGAUUGGAUAAUCAUACCAUGUAAAUCGAACCCCGACACGUAUAUCCGAGUAAAUUACAAAAUUCCAAUACACGUGAACACAAUGCGGAUACAUGUACGACACAUACUUCAACAUGACUGGUGCAGGUCUCAGUGCUGGGGUAUUUCGAGGGUUUGAGAGGUCAAGGCUCGAUCGGAGGGAUGUGAAAUGUUUUCUGAAUUUAUGCUGUUUCGAAUGAAUUCCUCGUGUCAACGGAAAAAUUUAUGCAUUGAGGAACAUAAAUCUGGGGUCUUCACCGGUCACUUCAGGUUGAUGGCGACUCUGAGCUAGUGGGAAUGUCCUAGACUUCACGAGAACCCAUGAAACUUCAAUAAAAUCUGGGAUUUAGACAGAAAGAAUGAAACAAAGACAGAAAAUCGUUGACUCAUACUUAAUUUGUAAAAAAAGAAUACAUUCUAUUUUUUAUAAACCGCAAUUAAAAAAUGAACAAUAAAAUAAUUUACCUUUAACAUCUGAUCCCUUGAUAUUUAAAACUGAAAUUGUUAAUGAACAUUUGAUAAAUUUUCUUGAUUCGCAAUUAAAAGUUCUGUUUCUCAUUUUGAUGGUUUCGAAGUUGAAAACUUCAAUGGCGUAAUAUAUCUUACAAUAUUCUAAUAGUAGAUGAGAGUGUCUUAUUUUCCUGAAGAUAUUUUGAAAAGUUGAAGUCAAAAGCAGAUAUAAAACUCAUGAUGAUGACCAACAGUAAUCCAAUCUCUCAGCCCUAGAAUUCUCAAUUUUUCUCGUUUCAUUCCUCAACUUCUCCACAAACUUCAUGAAAACAUCAAAACAUUGGAUUUUAUAACAGAAGUAAAAACUCGGCAGAGGCAAUAUCUGUAACGUCGAUAGAAAAUCUUCUGGAUUAAACUUUCCAGGAGUUGGAGUCAUACGUAAGCUCCCUUCAAUAUGUCGGUCUUGUUUCAUCAUGAAAGUACAUUACGUUUAUAUUUGCACCUUGAGAUGAGGAAGCAAUUGAGUCUAGGUGUGCUGAGUAGAUCAGCUCCAUUGUCUUCACAAAUCACCAUUUGACCUGAUCCUAUUUCCCUCUCUCGAUAUUCACAAUUUGUUAAAUGUUAGACUUCCGUGAUUCGUAUCAGUAAACCC
Long non-coding RNA from Fopius arisanus, 2182 nucleotides. RefSeq lists it as uncharacterized. Lineage: Eukaryota; Metazoa; Arthropoda; Insecta; Hymenoptera; Braconidae. The transcript is spliced from 3 exons. The record is from RefSeq and is a predicted model, not a curated record.